GAUGAAGAACGUAGUGAAAUGCGAUACUUGGUGUGAAUUGCAGAAUCCCGUGAACCAUCGAGUCUUUGAACGCAAGUUGCGCCCGAAGCCUCGGCUAAGGGCACGUCUGCCUGGGCGUCACGCAUCGCGUCUCCCCCAAACCGCCAAGGCGGAGGGGAAGGAAGAUGGCUUCCCGUGCCUCACCCGGGCGCGGUUGGCCUGAAUUUGGAGCCCGCGGCACUUAGCUCUCGCGGCGAUAGGUGGUGAACAAGGCCUUGGCCGUGCAAACAACCCGCUGCGAAGCUCUAUGUCACGUGCGCUCGUCGGACCCUUUGAAGUUGCCUUUGGUGACUUAAAACCUUUGCGACCCAAGGUCAGGCGGGGCUACCCGCUGAAUUUAAGCAUAUCAAUAAGCGGAGGA
RNAcentral lists this unclassified non-coding RNA (400 nucleotides) under soil metagenome. RNAcentral describes it as "partial contains 5.8S ribosomal RNA, internal transcribed spacer 2, and large subunit ribosomal RNA". The stretch from base 1 to 120 matches the Rfam family "5.8S ribosomal RNA", at positions 35 to 154 of the family's 154-position model. The record is from RNAcentral.